UCAGCGGGCACGGAAACCUUUAAAACCUAAAAUUUCCAAAAAUGAAUGUUAAUACCCGCGUCUACAAAAGGCCACGUAAAUGGGAUGGGCCGAUGAGUGCAUAUUAGAGGGUUAAUGUCUAUAUCCUUGGCACUCCCCACAUAAAAUUACGCUCAAAACAUACAUGCUCGACAUGCCGUGCCUAUUUUUCCAAUCCUUAGUUCAUAUGAUACAUGUAUUGUUCGCAAGAGGCA
This 233-nucleotide long non-coding RNA is filed under the name Lathyrus oleraceus (garden pea). RNAcentral describes it as "Pisum sativum (pea) long non-coding RNA (PSAT_LNC001641)". Lineage: Eukaryota; Viridiplantae; Streptophyta; Magnoliopsida; Fabales; Fabaceae. The record is from RNAcentral.